CAGUAGCCACGGUAAUACGAAGGGGGCUAGCGUUAAUCGGAAUUACUGGGCGUAAAGCGUGCGUAGGCGGUGAGUUAAGUCUGCUGUGAAAUCCCCGGGCUCAACCUGGGAAUGGCAGUGGAUACUGGCAAGCUAGAGUGUGUCAGGGGAUGGUGGAAUUCCCGGUGUAGCGGUGAAAUGCGUAGAGAUCGGGAGGAACAUCAGUGGCGAAGGCGGCCAUCUGGGACAACACUGACGCUGAGGCACGAAAGCGUGGGAGCAAACAGGAUUAGAUACCCCCGUAGUCCCUGUCUCUUAUACA
This 301-nucleotide ribosomal RNA is filed under the name uncultured bacterium. RNAcentral's name for it is "partial 16S ribosomal RNA". It matches the Rfam family "Bacterial small subunit ribosomal RNA", at positions 509 to 808 of the family's 1533-position model. The record is from RNAcentral.